UGGCUUGGUGGAGCUGAAGAGGGCACUCACAUCUCUAUGCCCAACCCUGCCAGCAGGGUGGAAAUUCAGGCAGGCUGUGGGAGGGUGGGGUUGUCCUCCUGGGGCUCUGCCCAGCUCUCCCAUCUAGCUUCCCAUACACCCACUGCAGGGGCCACAGGCACCCAAGGAGGCCUCGAAGAUGGACUGGCCCUCCGUCUGCUACAUCCACAGGGGGCACGCUAGAAACGCAGAAGGGGACGCAACAGCCACAUUCCAGUCCACAAAGACACCGCGCAGGCCCGUCCAUCUGCCCCGUGAAUGCCACCCAGGCAGAGACACACAUACAGCUGAGGCUGGGCCGGAUCCCAGAGCAAACCCUUGGGUGCCUCUGGAGGGAGCCCGCCAAGAGGGAUGGCUCAUAAACACUGGGGAAGGAACAGAAGGGGAGGGAGCAAAGGAACUCGGCCGCUCACCUCCGACCCAACCACUUCCUGAGAAGCCAUCUCUGUGGUCAUGGUGGUCCCAGGCCUGGCUCUCCCUGCGCCCACCCCCACCACCCAGUCACUCCACCCAGUCACCCCACCCAGCUGUGACCUGCCGCUUCCCUCCAUCUCACAUGCUUUCCCCUCACCUCCCUCAGGAAGCCUCCCCAACCUCUGGCCUCCAGUCCCAACAAGCCAUGCUCCUUCCAGAGGGAACCUCUGCCAGGGGAGCCUCCACUUUCUUGCUCCUGCCUCCCUACCUGGCACCCAGGCCGGCCCUGGUACCCUGGUACUGAAUAAAGGCACACGUCUAAAUGAUGUCGGGGGGAAUCUGCCCAGUGUUGGCACUGGAGCGAACACGACCCACUGCCAGCAUGGCCCACGAGCCACGCCCCCCCCAAGCCAGCACCUCCUCCCCAGAGGAAGCACGGGGCUCAAGGGGGCACGCCCCUGAAUGGGAGGUCACACAUGGUGCAUACAAUGGAAUAGGAUUAAUCCGUGAAAAGGAAGAAAUUCUGACACAUGCUCCAGCGUGGAGGAACCUUGAGGACAACACUGAGUGAAAUAAGCCAGACACGAAAGGACAGAUACGGCAAGACUCGACUUACGUGAGGUCCCUAGAGGAGUCGGAUUCAUAGAGACUGAAAGGAUGGCGGGCACCAGGGGCGGUGGAGAGGGGAAAUGGGGAGUUACUGUUUAAUGGGGACAGAGUUUCAGUUUUACAAGAUGAAAAGGGUCCUGGAGCUGGAUGGGGGUGACGGCCGCACAACAGCAUGAAUGGACUGAACGCCACUGAACUGAACUCUUGAAAAUGGUUAAACUGGCAAAUUUUGUUAUGCAUAUUUUGCCACAAAAAGCAAACAACUCUUCUCCCCAAAAAUAUCUGGGGUGUACUUACACUAAAUAUGUAGGGCAUAUUUACGCUCAACAUUUAUUUCCUUAUUUGAAAUUAAAGUAUUUGGGACACACUGCACUACAAAAUGAUUCAGGGUCUACCUGAAAUUCCCAUGUACCUGGUGUCCUGUCUUUGCAUCCGCUAAGUCCGGCGACCCUUUGCAGCAUGGGGGGUGGGGGUGGG
This 1539-nucleotide small RNA is filed under the name Pan troglodytes (chimpanzee). RNAcentral describes it as "retained intron". The record is from RNAcentral. Lineage: Eukaryota; Metazoa; Chordata; Mammalia; Primates; Hominidae.